This 374-nucleotide ribosomal RNA is filed under the name uncultured organism. RNAcentral describes it as "partial 16S ribosomal RNA". It matches the Rfam family "Bacterial small subunit ribosomal RNA", at positions 527 to 896 of the family's 1533-position model. The record is from RNAcentral.
GUAGGUGGCAAGCGUUGUCCGGAAUUAUUGGGCGUAAAGCGCGCGCAGGCGGUUCUUUAAGUCUGAUGUGAAAGCCCACGGCUCAACCGUGGAGGGUCAUUGGAAACUGGAGAACUUGAGUACAGAAGAGGAAAGCGGAAUUCCACGUGUAGCGGUGAAAUGCGUAGAGAUGUGGAGGAACACCAGUGGCGAAGGCGGCCUUCUGGUCUGUAACUGACGCUGAGGCGCGAAAGCGUGGGGAGCAAACAGGGAUUAGAUACCCUGGUAGUCCACGCCGUAAACGAUGAGUGCUAAGUGUUAGGGGGUUUCCCGCCCCCUUAGUGCUGCAGCUAACGCAUUAAGCACUCCGCCUGGGGAGUACGGCCGCAAGGCUG